AUUGAAAGUUAUGAAAUUAUAAGAUUAAAAUGUUCCUACUAAUAUAUAAAAUACCUAUGAUAUUAUUGUGCCUUUUGGUGAGUGGGAAUGAGGGUUUGGAUAUGAUCCAAACUUCACUAAAAAUGUUAAUAACUAUGUAAGAGUGUGGAGAAUAUUUUUUAUCUAUUUCGCUUUGUACCUAUCCUCUGUAAUGCCAGGUAUGACUAACUAUUUGAUAAAAAUUGAAGACUAACACGAGACUGAGGUUGAACAGGCUAAGUGAGGAGGUGGGCACAAAUAGUGAGAGGAAUAGCCUGACUUUUCCAAGGACUAGGAUUUGGGCUGAUAGGAUGUAUUACUGGGGUGCUGGCUGAGGCAGGGAGAGGAGGCUGAAAUAUGAGGAGAGGUUAAGGAAGGCAGAAAUCUUCAUUUGAAGAAUCAGUGCUGUCUGCAACAAAAGAACCAUUCCAGUGUCUCAAGGCAGCAGCAGGAUGCCAUCUGUUCCAGCAACUCAGGGUAAUUGGAGAAGGACAUUUCCCAGGCAGCUAAAAGUAAAGAACCAGAAAGGAUUCUGCCUUAUGGAAAAGCUCUCUAACACACAGACAGCAGCACAGAGCAAUGGAGAAGAAGAGAUAGAGUGCAAGAGGAUGAAGAAAAGGACCAAGACUAUUUUCAAAUCAUCCACUGCACUACUAGAAAACUCUUCCAAAGGAAUUUGCAUCUUUAAGAUUAGAAUUCCAGAAAAACCAACUCAAGUUUUUAACUGGAUUCAUAUGAAGAUAUCGAAAGCUGAGGAGCCAGAAAGAUGGGGCACAUAAAGAAAAGAAAAUGAUUGAUUUUAGUUUCUUUCUUGAAUAGAUAGCCAUAUCUACCUGUAAAGGCAUAAAAUAAGACACAGAAUCAUGGAUUUGGAACGAAUUUGCAUAGAUUGAUUUCUAAUCAUUUCUUCCAUAAUUGUUUUCACAUAAAAAUAAUCACAUAAGCUUGCCUGAUCAAGUAGUUUUACAUUUACAGAACUGUUUGGUGGGAUGGUAUGGUUGGUUUUGGAGUGAGUAUAACACAUCUAAAUAAACAUGUCAAGAAGUACUUAAAAAGAAUUGAUUUUUUUAAGGGAAUAUAAGCCUUGUCAAGACUAUGAACCUUACAACAAUCAUUUUAUUAAUAAAACUGUUAAGAAAGAAAAUUUAUUCAAAUUUUUUCUUUAUGAUAAUCACUAUGUACCAAAAAUAUUCUCUAUAAAUAUUGUUCUGAAAUCACCAAUGGCAGAUAUGUUUUGAAAUAUGAUUUGUAUUAGGAUAUUCAAUCAACAUCCAAUUGAUUUUCAGUUCCUGAAACUGUGGCUUUAAAUUUGAUCAAUGCAGAGUAUAGGAUCAGUAAUUAAACAGUAGUUUUUUUUUUCAAGUGGAGGUAGUUAAUAUCGUAAAUGGACAGGGAAAAUGUGGCACAUAUACACCAUGGAAUAUUAUGCAGCCAUCAAAAACGAUGAGUUCGCAUCCUUUGUAGGGACAUGGAUAAACCUGGAAACCAUCAUUUUCAGCAAACUGACACAAGAACACAAAAUCAAACACCGCAUGUUCUCACUCAUAGGCGGGUGUUGAACAAUGAGAACACAUGGACACAGGGAGGGGAGCACUACACACUGGGGUCUGUAGGGGGGAAAUAGGGGAGGGACAGUGGUGGGUGGGGAGUUGGGGAGAGAUAGCAUGGGGAGAAAUGCCACAUAUAUGUGAAGGGGAGGAAGGCAGCAAAUCACACUGCCACGUAUGCACCUAUGCAACAAUCUUACAUGUUCUUCACAUGUACCCCAAAACCUAGAAUGCAAUUAAAAAAAAUAGAUUCAGGCUCUAUGUUUUGGUAAAUAAUUAUGGGAACAAAACCAAGCUUUUAAUUACAUUAUUAUUUGGGUCCUUAGUAUGUGGAAUUUAAACAAAAGUAUUAUAUAUAAAACUAUCACAGCAAAGGUGUGUGGCAACCUGAGAAUUACUUUACUAACUUGAGAGACAGCAUCUUCAGAUAUAUUCCUGCCAACUCAUAAGAGAUGUGCAUGGAAAGCAAACAGUUGUGCUGGGCAGAAAAACAAAAUUAGGCAAGAAAUGAGCAAGUCUUCCAACAGAUGGUUUUUCAGAAAUGGCAACAGUAAUCUCUCUAACAUCUCUGUGGCAAAUACAGAAAUUAAAAUUACUUUCAAACUCCAAUAAUGUAGAAACUCAGUACUCAUUUAGCCAAUACUAUGUAUUCUUAUUCCAGUAGCUCAGAAAUACUGGGGAUCAUACCUGGAGUUGUCGUCACCACAGGGUAGGGAUUGCUUUCUUCAUUCUGUGGCUAUCUUGAGAUGUUGGCCUGAAACAUGUUGGCUGUGGUACUAUGAGAAAGGAUUUCAUGGUUCAGUGGUGGUCAAAUUGAUUGAGAGGAAAGACUGAAUUAAUCUGUUAGUGACACACUGAUCCAUAUGCUGUCUGAACCUUGUGUGAGGAAAAUUCAAGAAAGUCUUGGCAAAUCAGCACUGCUGUACUCUGUUGACCACAAGGUGCUGUGGUCUAUAAUCGGAAAAUCAACCAGAGCGUUUGCUCUAAUACACUUAAACAAGAGUAUCCCUAGUAGUCUACACCAUCUUUUUUAGCCUACAAGGAAAAUAUGGGGUGCAGUGGUGAUAUUUCAGAUAGUUUCUGUUACAAACUCCAUGAACUUAACAGUUCAGAACUAAUAUGUCUCAUAGACCAUGUAUUAUGUACCACAUGUACAGAACCAGCUGCAUCCAGUUGAAGUUUGAUGUGAAAAGGAAUACCAUGAGGUACUUAUUUACUUCAAACAGCUUUUUUUCUUUUUUCUUUCUUUCUUUUUUUUUUUUUUUUGGCGGAGCUUUGCCCUUGUUGCCCAGGCUGGAGUAAAAUGUCGUGAACUCGGCUCACUGCAAACUCUGCCUCCCUGGUUCAAGUGAUUCUCCUGCCUCACCCUUCCUAGUAGCUGGGAUUAUAGGCACCUGCCACCAGGCCUGGCUAAUUUUGUAUUUUCAGUAGAGACAAAGUUUCACCAUGUUGGACAGGCUGGUCUCAAACUCCUGACCUCAGGUGAUCUGCUUGGGCCUCCCAAAGUGCUAGGAUUACAGGAGUGAGCCACUACGCCUGGCCCAAACAGCUCUUUUUUUUGAGUGGUGCAACAAAAUCAAUAUGGAGUUUCAAAUUUUACUUACUUUUUAAUGGAUUUUAAUGCAUAAGUAAUGCCAGAGUACAUCUGGAGGAUUUUAUAGCAAAUUCCAGACAUCAGUUAAUCUCAUACAUAAGAACUAUGUUUCUCUAACACAUUUUUAAAAAGCAUAAUUACAAUAAUGUUAAUAUACACAACAUAUUUAACAUUUGUUCCUUAAUAUCAUAUAACACCCAGUCCAUGUCCUAUUGUCCUUUAUUAUCUCAAAAAUAUCUUUUUAUACUUUGCUGGAAUCAGGAUGUUAGCAAGACCCAUACAUUGCAUUUGUUUGCUGUACCUCUUAAAUUUUCUUUCCUUUUUAUUUUCUUGUUAAUCUAUACAUUUUCCCUCUCUUUUCUUCCAUUUAUUUGCUGAAAAUACUGGCUCAUUUGUCUUGUAGAAUUUCCCAAGUUCUUGCUUUGCCUAAUUGUUUCUCUUGGUAUCAUUUAACAUGUUUCUCUUCCUAUAUUCCCUAAAUUUUCUGUAAAUGAAAUUAAAUAGAGGUGCUUGAUUAAAUUGUUUCUUUUUUCCUCCCUGUUUAAAAGUACACUUCAUGAAUAGUGCUGUAUUCUUCUUAUUGCACAACAUAAGAAGGCACAUAUAUCUUACUUUCUCUCUUUGAUGCUAAGUUUGAUGAGUAGGGUCUGAUGGUAUCAGCCUAAUCCCUCUGUUUUAAUUCUCUACAUGUUUUUCACCUAAUGGUUUUAACAGCCGUUGAUGAUUUUUUCUUAAAUCCAUUAUCUCACUAGGGAUUGAAUUCUAACACUGCCAUUUCUUUUGCGUUUAUAAGUUGUGAGUCUUCCAUAAAGGAGUUCUUUCAGUAAUUAUCUGUUUGAUCAACCUGCAAUAUGACUUAUAGGGGAAGACAGUAAUAAU
Long non-coding RNA from Aotus nancymaae (Ma's night monkey), 4038 nucleotides. The record is from Ensembl. Lineage: Eukaryota; Metazoa; Chordata; Mammalia; Primates; Aotidae.